Molecule: small nucleolar RNA, 66 nt
Organism: Trichosurus vulpecula (common brushtail)
Lineage: Eukaryota; Metazoa; Chordata; Mammalia; Diprotodontia; Phalangeridae
Source: RefSeq, a predicted model, not a curated record
AAUGCUGGAUGAUCUCAAUGCUGCCCCAGUCUGAUCAUGAUGACUGAAGGGUAUUUAAAUGGCAUG